GCUGGGUGUGGUGGUGCACACCUGUAAUCCAGCUACUCGGGGGGCUGAGGCAGGAGGAUCACAAUCUCCAGGUCAGCCUGGGAAAUUCGGAAAGGCCCUCAGCAAUUUAGCAAGAACCUACCCCAA
RNAcentral lists this small RNA (126 nucleotides) under Marmota monax (woodchuck). The record is from RNAcentral. Lineage: Eukaryota; Metazoa; Chordata; Mammalia; Rodentia; Sciuridae.